This 1470-nucleotide ribosomal RNA is filed under the name metagenome. Its description in RNAcentral is "bacterial SSU rRNA". It matches the Rfam family "Bacterial small subunit ribosomal RNA". The record is from RNAcentral.
AGAGUUUGAUCAUGGCUCAGGACGAACGCUGGCGGCACGCUUAACACAUGCAAGUCGAACGAGAGAAGAGGAGCUUGCUUUUCUGAUCUAGUGGCGGACGGGUGAGUAACACGUGAGCAAUAUGCCUUUCAGAGGGGGAUACCGAUUGGAAACGAUCGUUAAUACCGCAUAACAUAAUUGAACCGCAUGAUUUGAUUAUCAAAGAUUUAUCGCUGAAAGAUGAGCUCGCGUCUGAUUAGCUAGUUGGUAAGAUAACGGCUUACCAAGGCGACGAUCAGUAGCCGGACUGAGAGGUUGAUCGGCCACAUUGGGACUGAGACACGGCCCAGACUCCUACGGGAGGCAGCAGUGGGGAAUAUUGCACAAUGGAGGAAACUCUGAUGCAGCGAUGCCGCGUGAGGGAAGAAGGUUUUAGGAUUGUAAACCUCUGUCUUCAGGGACGAAAAAAGACGGUACCUGAGGAGGAAGCUCCGGCUAACUACGUGCCAGCAGCCGCGGUAAUACGUAGGGAGCGAGCGUUGUCCGGAAUUACUGGGUGUAAAGGGAGCGUAGGCGGGAUCGCAAGUCAGAUGUGAAAACUAUGGGCUUAACCCAUAAACUGCAUUUGAAACUGUGGUUCUUGAGUGAAGUAGAGGUAAGCGGAAUUCCUAGUGUAGCGGUGAAAUGCGUAGAUAUUAGGAGGAACAUCAGUGGCGAAGGCGGCUUACUGGGCUUUAACUGACGCUGAGGCUCGAAAGCGUGGGGAGCAAACAGGAUUAGAUACCCUGGUAGUCCGCGCCGUAAACGAUGAUUACUAGGUGUGGGGGGACUGACCCCUUCCGUGCCGCAGCAAACGCAAUAAGUAAUCCACCUGGGGAGUACGACCGCAAGGUUGAAACUCAAAGGAAUUGACGGGGGCCCGCACAAGCAGUGGAGUAUGUGGAUUAAUUCGAAGCAACGCGAAGAACCUUACCAGGUCUUGACAUCGUAUGCAUAGCUCAGAGAUGAGUGAAAUCUCUUCGGAGACAUAUAGACAGGUGGUGCAUGGUUGUCGUCAGCUCGUGUCGUGAGAUGUUGGGUUAAGUCCCGCAACGAGCGCAACCCUUACUGUUAGUUGCUACGCAAGAGCACUCUAGCAGGACUGCCGUUGACAAAACGGAGGAAGGUGGGGAUGACGUCAAAUCAUCAUGCCCCUUAUGACCUGGGCCUCACACGUACUACAAUGGCUGUCAACAGAGGGAAGCAAAGCCGCGAGGUGGAGCGAACCCCUAAAAGCAGUCUUAGUUCGGAUUGUAGGCUGCAACCCGCCUACAUGAAGUCGGAAUUGCUAGUAAUCGCAGAUCAGCAUGCUGCGGUGAAUACGUUCCCGGGCCUUGUACACACCGCCCGUCACGCCAUGGGAGUCGGUAACACCCGAAGCCUGUAGUCUAACCGCAAGGAGGACGCAGUCGAAGGUGGGAUUGAUGACUGGGGUGAAGUCGUAACAAGGUA